RNAcentral lists this long non-coding RNA (1465 nucleotides) under Sus scrofa (pig). RNAcentral's name for it is "lncRNA (ENSSSCG00030046153.1)". The stretch from base 739 to 942 matches the Rfam family "Small nucleolar RNA SNORA73 family". Lineage: Eukaryota; Metazoa; Chordata; Mammalia; Artiodactyla; Suidae. The record is from RNAcentral.
GCAGGCGCAUUAGACACGCCUGGCUUCCGCGCUCUUCAGAAGGUAUAAAUACCGAGGCGUUGCGCUUCCUCGGCCUUUUCGGGGAAGACUGUUGAACGUCGUGUUAAGUUCUCGGUGAGUGUUUUCCACCGCCUGUUUCGUCGGCUCUAAGUUUGGCAGGGGGUCCGCCAACCGUAGUGUUCAGUUGUAAUCAUACUAUUUAGAGCGACUCCGAGUCGCCUGUGGGCCGAGAAGGCCUCGUGAGCUGCGGUUCUUGGCCAUCACCAAGGGGCGCUGUGUUCGCAGGGCUGCCACCCUCUGCUCCCACAAGCGAAACAUUGCCUAUUGCGCCGUUUAUUACGCUGCCUCUUAGGCGCGUUAGCGUUCUCUGGAGUUGUGUGCAGGGAUAUUUUGUUAUUGAUUUCUCGAGUUUAAAGGGGUUUUGUGACUUUUUUUGUUUGGAGUUAACCUGGUGGACUAUCUGCUUGAAGGAUCCGGGGUUGUCGCUCCUGUGGCGCGGGUUUGGCCCUUAGCCCAGGAAUUUUUACAUACCGCCGUCGCGGAUAAGGUCUUGUGAUUUAUAAACGGAUAGCUGUUACUUCUACUAAAGCUUGCUAUUUUCUUUUGGGCUAUUUCUCGAUUCCCAGAUAAUCAGAUUCAAGAUAGAAACCUUACUGUAAUGGUUGUACGUUUACCUAUUUCUCUGCAAGCUAACCACCUGUAGGGAUUUCAACUGGGCUAAAUUCUCAGGAAAAAUGACCAACGUGGAUACCCCGGGAGGUCACUCUCCCCGGGCUCUGUCCUGGUGGCGUAGAGGAGCAUAGGGCUCUGCCCCAUGAUGUACAGUCCCUUUCCACAACGUUGGAGAUGAAGCUGGGCCUUGAGUCUGCGCCUGCAUAUUCCUACAGCUUCUCAGAGUCCUGUGGACAAUGACUGAGGAGACAAACCAUGCAGGAAACAGCUCUCUGCAGCAAGCUGUCUGGAUCCAGAGUGAGUGGAAGAUUGACAUUAGUCAGUUUUGCUGUACAGUUGGAUUAAGCUCUUACUUGCCUUGUUUUGCAGCAUUCGCUUGGGAUUCCUAAUGUCUUGAUUUGAGGAGAGAAGAUGAACCUCACCUAACUUUGAAAUUAAUAUUUAAUGCUUUGAGGUCCCUUACUUGCAGGGAGAUGUGGUAAAGUGAGUACCCUGCAGUUCGGGGAGAUAAACCUGCAGUUUGAAAAUGUUAAGAUUACACAGAACACUCAAUCCUGGAACUAUCUUAAAAAGCAGCAGAGUCAUAGUAUGUUGCCCAGAUGCCCAUUGAAAUUAGAAGGAAUUAUAUGUGACAGGUGUGGGGGGUGGCCCUAGAGAUCCUCUCAGGUUUUCUACGAUGUGAAAACCAGUCAACAGUGGGUUUUCUGACAAGUGGAAGUAUGAGGACCUAUAUAUUUUAAUAAAGAGAUGCAUGACAGUUUCUACUGUGCUCAUGAAUUAUAAUAAAAAUGAC